This 253-nucleotide ribosomal RNA is filed under the name uncultured bacterium. RNAcentral's name for it is "partial 16S ribosomal RNA". It matches the Rfam family "Bacterial small subunit ribosomal RNA", at positions 524 to 776 of the family's 1533-position model. The record is from RNAcentral.
UACGAAGGGUGCAAACGUUGCUCGGAAUCAUUGGGCGUAAAGCGCACGUAGGCGGCUUUGCAAGUCGGACGUGAAAUCCCUCAGCUCAACUGAGGACGUGCAUCCGAAACUGCAAGGCUUGAGUACUGAAGAGGAUCGCGGAAUUCCCGGUGUAGAGGUGAAAUUCGUAGAUAUUAGGAAGAACACCAGUGGCGAAGGCGGCUCACUGGCCCGGUACUGACGCUGAGGCGCGAAAGCGUGGGGAGCAAACAGG